Molecule: transfer RNA, 71 nt
Filed under: Planctomycetota bacterium
Lineage: Bacteria; Pseudomonadati; Planctomycetota
Description: Planctomycetes bacterium tRNA-Gly
Rfam family: tRNA
About the family: Transfer RNA (tRNA) molecules are approximately 80 nucleotides in length. Their secondary structure includes four short double-helical elements and three loops (D, anti-codon, and T loops). Further hydrogen bonds mediate the characteristic L-shaped molecular structure. tRNAs have two regions of fundamental functional importance: the anti-codon, which is responsible for specific mRNA codon recognition, and the 3' end, to which the tRNAs corresponding amino acid is attached (by aminoacyl-tRNA synthetases). tRNAs cope with the degeneracy of the genetic code in two manners: having more than one tRNA (with a specific anti-codon) for a particular amino acid; and 'wobble' base-pairing, i.e. permitting non-standard base-pairing at the 3rd anti-codon position.
Source: RNAcentral
GCGGGAUUGGUAUAACGGUCGUGCCCAGCCUUCCCAAGGCUGUGAAACGAGUUCGACUCUCGUAUCCCGCU